UACAUGGGGUGCAAACGUUGCUCGGAAUUAUUGGGCGUAAAGCGCACGUAGGUGGUCUGUUAUGUCGGAUGUGAAAGCCCUCGGCUCAACUGAGGAAGUGCAUCCGAAACUGGCAGGCUUGAGUAUGUAAGAGGGUCGCGGAAUUCCCGGUGUAGAGGUGAAAUUCGUAGAUAUCGGGAGGAACACCCGUGGCGAAGGCGGCGACCUGGGACAAUACUGACACUGAGGUGCGAAAGCGUGGGGAGCGAACAGG
Molecule: ribosomal RNA, 253 nt
Filed under: uncultured bacterium
Lineage: Bacteria
Description: partial 16S ribosomal RNA
Rfam family: Bacterial small subunit ribosomal RNA
Source: RNAcentral